Molecule: ribosomal RNA, 253 nt
Filed under: uncultured bacterium
Lineage: Bacteria
Description: partial 16S ribosomal RNA
Rfam family: Bacterial small subunit ribosomal RNA
Source: RNAcentral
UACGAAGGGUGCAAGCGUUACUCGGAAUUACUGGGCGUAAAGCGUGCGUAGGCGGUUUGUUAAGUCUGUCGUGAAAGCCCCGGGCUCAACCUGGGAAUGGCGAUGGAUACUGGCGAGCUAGAGUACGGUAGAGGAGAGUGGAAUUCCCGGUGUAGCGGUGAAAUGCGUAGAUAUCGGGAGGAACAUCAGUGGCGAAGGCGACCGCCUGGCCCAACACUGACGCUGAGGUGCGAAAGCGUGGGUAGCAAACAGG